RNAcentral lists this ribosomal RNA (500 nucleotides) under uncultured Glomeromycotina. Its description in RNAcentral is "partial small subunit ribosomal RNA". It matches the Rfam family "Eukaryotic small subunit ribosomal RNA", at positions 591 to 1092 of the family's 1831-position model. The record is from RNAcentral. Lineage: Eukaryota; Fungi; Glomeromycota.
CCAAUAGCGUAUAUUAAAGUUGUUGCAGUUAAAAAGCUCGUAGUUGAAUUUCGGGAUCAAUACGUCGGUCGUGCCUCCGGUACGCACUGUCGUCGUUGAUUUCUCCCUUCUGAUGAAACGCGAUGUCAUUAAUUUGGUGUUGCGGGGAGUCAGAACUGUUACUUUGAAAAAAUUAGAGUGUUUAAAGCAGGCAAACGCUUGAAUACAUUAGCAUGGAAUAAUGAAAUAGGACGUUCGAACCUAUUUUGUUGGUUUCUAGGAUCAACGUAAUGAUUAAUAGGGAUAGUUGGGGGCAUUAGUAUUCAAUUGUCAGAGGUGAAAUUCUUGGAUUUAUUGAAGACUAACUACUGCGAAAGCAUUUGCCAAGGAUGUUUUCAUUAAUCAAGAACGAAAGUUAGGGGAUCGAAGACGAUCAGAUACCGUCGUAGUCUUAACCAUAAACUAUGCCGACUAGGGAUCGGAUGAAGUUAAUUUUUUAAUGACUCAUUCGGCGCCUUACG